AUGUUCUGCCAAGGAAUAGAGGCCGUUACAUUCCGAAGACAAUUCACAGCAACAAAGUCUGGGCACAACAUUCCUGCUGAUGCCAAGAGUCUUGUGUCUGGAGCUUCCGCUGGAGAGAGAGACCCGGAACCUGGUGCUCCAACCAAAUGCUGUAGCUGGGACCAUCCAUCUUGGAGAAGCGGUCCAGGCCAACUGGAAAGUGUCCAGAGGUGCCACAGCCACGCUGAGUCCAAGGAAACAGUGCCGAGCAUCCAGAGUCACAGGGGCAGCAGCCAAGAAGAUGGUUCCCGAGGUUCACCUUUGCCUGGCCUCGUUUCCCACUGCGCCCUGGUUUGUGCCUUCUGCUCACACUGGAUGCUGCCUUGCCUUUCAGUUUCAGUGGAGACUUCCAUAGCAGCAGCAGCAGCAGCAGCAGCAGCAGUCACCCUGGUGUGUCAAACCCAGCCUCCAUCUUCCUGUGGCCACUGUCUUCAAAUCCAGGUUCAAGUACACCUGAGGGUCUACAGACUUUCAAGGGGGUAAAUGUUGAUGAAUGAUCUAAAGAGAAUCCGCUUCCAGAAUGUUAACUUCCAAGUACAGAUUUCUAAAACCAUUUCAUGAAAUUUCCCAUGUUCCCCUCACCCAUUGCAAUUUCACGUGGAGCUUUGCACUGGGAUCUAAAAAACCUCCUCAAGCCAGAAAAAAAAGGGGAGAUUGAGUAUUAGUUUCUGGGGAGCUUCUUUAAUGAUUCAUCAAGGCAUCUUUGCCCCUUAGGGCUUUCUGUCCUUCCCUGUCUUGUACGUAUUUCUGUUAAGCAUGGCCCACAUUGAGAUGCUCUAAAUUUAGAACAACUAAAGCAGGAUAGGUUAGAGGUGCUAAAUUUUUUACAUGAUUUCUUUCAGAUUC
Molecule: long non-coding RNA, 885 nt
Filed under: Capra hircus (goat)
Lineage: Eukaryota; Metazoa; Chordata; Mammalia; Artiodactyla; Bovidae
Description: lncRNA (ENSCHIG00000000659.1)
Source: RNAcentral